RNAcentral lists this ribosomal RNA (639 nucleotides) under Shigella sp. RNAcentral describes it as "bacterial SSU rRNA". It matches the Rfam family "Bacterial small subunit ribosomal RNA", at positions 63 to 690 of the family's 1533-position model. The record is from RNAcentral. Lineage: Bacteria; Pseudomonadati; Pseudomonadota; Gammaproteobacteria; Enterobacterales; Enterobacteriaceae.
CGAACGGUAACAGGAAGCAGCUUGCUUUUUUUGCUGACGAGUGGCGGACGGGUGAGUAAUGUCUGGGAAACUGCCUGAUGGAGGGGGAUAACUACUGGAAACGGUAGCUAAUACCGCAUAACGUCGCAAGACCAAAGAGGGGGACCUUCGGGCCUCUUGCCAUCGGAUGUGCCCAGAUGGGAUUAGCUAGUAGGUGGGGUAACGGCUCACCUAGGCGACGAUCCCUAGCUGGUCUGAGAGGAUGACCAGCCACACUGGAACUGAGACACGGUCCAGACUCCUACGGGAGGCAGCAGUGGGGAAUAUUGCACAAUGGGCGCAAGCCUGAUGCAGCCAUGCCGCGUGUAUGAAGAAGGCCUUCGGGUUGUAAAGUACUUUCAGCGGGGAGGAAGGGAGUAAAGUUAAUACCUUUGCUCAUUGACGUUACCCGCAGAAGAAGCACCGGCUAACUCCGUGCCAGCAGCCGCGGUAAUACGGAGGGUGCAAGCGUUAAUCGGAAUUACUGGGCGUAAAGCGCACGCAGGCGGUUUGUUAAGUCAGAUGUGAAAUCCCCGGGCUCAACCUGGGAACUGCAUCUGAUACUGGCAAGCUUGAGUCUCGUAGAGGGGGGUAGAAUUCCAGGUGUAGCGGUGAAAUGCG